Molecule: ribosomal RNA, 608 nt
Filed under: Sulfitobacter sp.
Lineage: Bacteria; Pseudomonadati; Pseudomonadota; Alphaproteobacteria; Rhodobacterales; Roseobacteraceae
Description: bacterial SSU rRNA
Rfam family: Bacterial small subunit ribosomal RNA
Source: RNAcentral
UCGAGCGCACCCUUCGGGGCGAGCGGCGGACGGGUUAGUAACGCGUGGGAAUGUACCCUUCUCUAUGGAAUAGCCUCGGGAAACUGAGAGUAAUACCAUAUACGCCCUUCGGGGGAAAGAUUUAUCGGAGAAGGAUCAGCCCGCGUAAGAUUAGAUAGUUGGUGGGGUAAUGGCCUACCAAGUCUACGAUCUUUAGCUGGUUUUAGAGGAUGAUCAGCAACACUGGGACUGAGACACGGCCCAGACUCCUACGGGAGGCAGCAGUGGGGAAUCUUAGACAAUGGGCGCAAGCCUGAUCUAGCCAUGCCGCGUGUGUGAUGAAGGCCUUAGGGUCGUAAAGCACUUUCGCCAGGGAUGAUAAUGACAGUACCUGGUAAAGAAACCCCGGCUAACUCCGUGCCAGCAGCCGCGGUAAUACGGAGGGGGUUAGCGUUGUUCGGAAUUACUGGGCGUAAAGCGCACGUAGGCGGAUCAGAAAGUUGGGGGUGAAAUCCCAGGGCUCAACCCUGGAACUGCCUCCAAAACUCCUGGUCUUGAGUUCGAGAGAGGUGAGUGGAAUUCCGAGUGUAGAGGUGAAAUUCGUAGAUAUUCGGAGGAACACCAGUGGC